RNAcentral lists this long non-coding RNA (299 nucleotides) under Ananas comosus (pineapple). RNAcentral's name for it is "long non-coding RNA (ACOM_LNC027759)". Lineage: Eukaryota; Viridiplantae; Streptophyta; Magnoliopsida; Poales; Bromeliaceae. The record is from RNAcentral.
UUUAUUUUUACGAUGAAAGUAAUUCUGAUGAUUCUAAUAAAAAAGUGCUUGUGGGAGAAGCUCAAAUUAUCUUAAGACUAAAGGCUUCGUUUGGGAUUGCGGGGAGAUUGCGUGACGUGCGGUGAGAAAGUACGAUGGAAAAAUAUUCUGUUUGUUUUCGUAUGUAAUAUUAUAUUCCGCAUAUUGCGAUGAGUCAGUUAUAAUAUAUUUUCUGCUGUCCCAUCGGAGAAUACAGAAGCAUAUAGGGCCUAUAUGCUUUUUUCUUAAGUCCAUUUUAUCUAAUAGCGUCAAAUAGACCU